AGAGUUUGAUCAUGGCUCAGAACGAACGCUGGCGGCGUGCUUAACACAUGCAAGUCGAGUGCGCGGUUGUAGCAAUACAACUGGCGCACGGCGCACGGGUGCGUAACACGUGGGCAAUCUGCCCUCCGAUGGGGAAUAACCCCGCGAAAGCGGGGCUAAUUCCGCAUAACAUUCCCUGGACUCUGGUUCGGGGAUUCAAAGCAGCAAUGCGUCGGAGGAGGAGCCCGCGCCCGAUUAGCUAGUUGGUGAGGUAACGGCUCACCAAGGCAAUGAUCGGUAGCUGGUCUGAGAGGAUGGCCAGCCACACUGGAACUGAGACACGGUCCAGACUCCUACGGGAGGCAGCAGUGGGGAAUCUUGCGCAAUGGGCGAAAGCCUGACGCAGCGACGCCGCGUGGGGGAUGAAGCUUCUCGGAGUGUAAACCCCUUUCGACCGGGACGAAUGCCCGCAAGGGAGUGACGGUACCGGUAGAAGAAGCCCCGGCUAACUACGUGCCAGCAGCCGCGGUAAGACGUAGGGGGCCAGCGUUGUUCGGAAUUACUGGGUGUAAAGGGUUCGUAGGCGGUGUGGCAAGUCGGGAGUGAAAUUUCUGGGCUUAACCCAGAGGCUGCUUCCGAAACUGCUGUGCUCGAGUGUGGGAGAGGCGCGUGGAAUUGCAGGUGUAGCGGUGAAAUGCGUAGAUAUCUGCAGGAACACCCGUGGCGAAAGCGGCGCGCUGGACCACUACUGACGCUGAGGAACGAAAGCUAGGGGAGCAAACAGGAUUAGAUACCCUGGUAGUCCUAGCCCUAAACGAUCAGGACUUGGGGUGCCACCCGUUCGGGUGUCGUCCCGGAGCUAACGCGUUAAGUCCUGCACCUGGGGAGUACGGUCGCAGACUGAAACUCAAAGGAAUUGACGGGGCCCGCACAAGCGGUGGAACAUGU
This 927-nucleotide ribosomal RNA is filed under the name uncultured bacterium. Its description in RNAcentral is "bacterial SSU rRNA". It matches the Rfam family "Bacterial small subunit ribosomal RNA", at positions 8 to 942 of the family's 1533-position model. The record is from RNAcentral.